This 468-nucleotide ribosomal RNA is filed under the name uncultured bacterium. RNAcentral describes it as "partial 16S ribosomal RNA". It matches the Rfam family "Bacterial small subunit ribosomal RNA", at positions 28 to 507 of the family's 1533-position model. The record is from RNAcentral.
GACGAACGCUGGCGGCGUGCUUAACACAUGCAAGUCGAACGGAAAGGCCCUGCUUUUGUGGGGUGCUCGAGUGGCGAACGCGUGAGUAACACGUGAGUAACCUGCCCUUGACUUUCGGAUAACAUCAGGAAACUGGGGCUAAUACCGGAUAGGAUCUCCUGCUCCAUGGUGGGGGUUGGAAAGUUUCGGCUGUGGUGGAUGGACUAGCGGCUUAUCCGCUGCUUUGUCGGGUUGUGGCUUACCAAGGCUUUGACGGGUACCCGGCCUGAGAGGGUGGACGGCGACAAGGGGACUGCGGUAGGGAGCAGACGCGAACGGGAGGCAGUGGGCGGGAGUCUUGCAGAGUGGGGGGGAGCGUGUUGUAGAAACGCCGGGUGCGGGAUGACGGCCUUUGGGUUAAGAACCGAUGUCGACUGUGACGAAGCGGGAGUGACGGUAAUGGGUAAAGAAGCACCGGCUAACUACGUG